This 489-nucleotide ribosomal RNA is filed under the name Paramoeba aestuarina. Its description in RNAcentral is "partial Bacterial large subunit ribosomal RNA". It matches the Rfam family "Bacterial large subunit ribosomal RNA", at positions 1978 to 2477 of the family's 2925-position model. Lineage: Eukaryota; Discosea; Flabellinia; Dactylopodida; Paramoebidae. The record is from RNAcentral.
AAGUUCCGACCUGCACGAAUGGUGCAACGAUCUGGACACUGUCUCAGCCAUGAGCUCGGUGAAAUUGUAGUAUCGGUGAAGAUGCCGAUUACCCGCUACGGGACGAAAAGACCCCGUGCACCUUUACUAUAGCUUAGUAUUGACUUUGGACAAGUGAUGUGUAGGAUAGGUGGGAGACAUUGAAGCAGCGUCGCCAGGCGUUGUGGAGUCAUUGUUGAAAUACCACCCUUUACUUGUUUGAAGCCUAACUUCUAAAAGAAGGACAGUGCUUGGUGGGUAGUUUGACUGGGGUGGUCGCCUCCAAAAGAGUAACGGAGGCUUCUAAAGGUUCCCUCAGCACGCUUGGUAACCGUGCGUAGAGUGCAAUGGCAUAAGGGAGCUUGACUGAGAGACCUACAAGUCGAUCAGGUACGAAAGUAGAGCAUAGUGAUCCGGUGGCGCCGCAUGGAAGGGCCAUCGCUCAAAGGAUAAAAGGUACGCCGGGGAUAA